RNAcentral lists this ribosomal RNA (377 nucleotides) under uncultured bacterium. RNAcentral's name for it is "bacterial SSU rRNA". It matches the Rfam family "Bacterial small subunit ribosomal RNA", at positions 521 to 896 of the family's 1533-position model. The record is from RNAcentral.
UAAUACGUAGGGGGCAAGCGUUGUCCGGAAUUAUUGGGCGUAAAGAGCGUGUAGGCGGUCCGGUAAGUCAGCUGUGAAAGUCAAGGGCUCAACCCUUGAAUGCCGGUUGAUACUGUCGGGCUAGAGUCCGGAAGAGGCGAGUGGAAUUCCCGGUGUAGCGGUGAAAUGCGCAGAUAUCGGGAGGAACACCAAUGGCGAAGGCAGCUCGCUGGGACGGUACUGACGCUGAGACGCGAAAGCGUGGGGAGCAAACAGGAUUAGAUACCCUGGUAGUCCACGCCGUAAACGAUGGGCACUAGGUGUUGGGGGUGUCGACUCCCCCGGCGCCGUAGCUAACGCAUUAAGUGCCCCGCCUGGGGAGUACGGCCGCAAGGCUA